GACGAACGCUGGCGGCGUGCUUAACACAUGCAAGUCGAACGGAAAGGCCCUGCUUUUGUGGGGUGCUCGAGUGGCGAACGGGUGUGUAACACGUGUGUAACCUGCCCUUGACUUUGGGAUAUCUUCAGGAAACUGGGGCUAAUACCGGAUAUGAGCUCCUGCUGCAUGGUGGGGGUUGGAAAGUUUCGGCGGUUGGGGCUGGUCUCGCUGCUUAUCAGCUUGUUUGUGGUGUUGUGGCUUACCAAGGCUUUGACGGGUAGCCGGCCUGAGAGGGUGACCGGGCACAUGGGGACUGAGAGACGGACCAGACGGCAACGGGAGGCAGAAGGGGGGAAUAUUGCAGAAUGGGCGGAAGCCAGAGGCAGAAAAGCCGCGAGCGGGAUGACGGCCUUCGGGUCGUAAACAGCUUUCGACGGUGACGAAGCGUGAGUGACGGUAAUGGGUAAAGAAGCACCGGCUAACUACGUG
This 468-nucleotide ribosomal RNA is filed under the name uncultured bacterium. RNAcentral describes it as "partial 16S ribosomal RNA". It matches the Rfam family "Bacterial small subunit ribosomal RNA", at positions 28 to 507 of the family's 1533-position model. The record is from RNAcentral.